GACGAACGCUGGCGGCGUGCUAAUACAUGCAAGUCGAGCGGACAGAAGGGAGCUUGCUCCCGGAUGUUAGCGGCGGACGGGUGAGUAACACGUGGGUAACCUGCCUGUAAGACUGGGAUAACUCCGGGAAACCGGGAGCUAAUACCGGAUAGUUCCUUGAACCGCAUGGUUCAAGGAUGAAAGACGGUUUCGGCUGUCACUUACAGAUGGACCCGCGGCGCAUUAGCUAGUUGGUGGGGUAAUGGCUCACCAAGGCGACGAUGCGUAGCCGACCUGAGAGGGUGAUCGGCCACACUGGGACUGAGACACGGCCCAGACUCCUACGGGAGGCAGCAGUAGGGAAUCUUCCGCAAUGGACGAAAGUCUGACGGAGCAACGCCGCGUGAGUGAUGAAGGUUUUCGGAUCGUAAAGCUCUGUUGUUAGGGAAGAACAAGUGCGAGAGUAACUGCUCGCACCUUGACGGUACCUAACCAGAAAGCCACGGCUAACUACGUGCCAGCAGCCGCGGUAAUACGUAGGUGGCAAGCGUUGUCCGGAAUUAUUGGGCGUAAAGGGCUCGCAGGCGGUUUCUUAAGUCUGAUGUGAAAGCCCCCGGCUCAACCGGGGAGGGUCAUUGGAAACUGGGAAACUUGAGUGCAGAAGAGGAGAGUGGAAUUCCACGUGUAGCGGUGAAAUGCGUAGAGAUGUGGAGGAACACCAGUGGCGAAGGCGACUCUCUGGUCUGUAACUGACGCUGAGGAGCGAAAGCGUGGGGAGCGAACAGGAUUAGAUACCCUGGUAGUCCACGCCGUAAACGAUGAGUGCUAAGUGUUAGGGGGUUUCCGCCCCUUAGUGCUGCAGCUAACGCAUUAAGCACUCCGCCUGGGGAGUACGGUCGCAAGACUGAAACUCAAAGGAAUUGACGGGGGCCCGCACAAGCGGUGGAGCAUGUGGUUUAAUUCGAAGCAACGCGAAGAACCUUACCAGGUCUUGACAUCCUCUGACAACCCUAGAGAUAGGGCUUUCCCUUCGGGGACAGAGUGACAGGUGGUGCAUGGUUGUCGUCAGCUCGUGUCGUGAGAUGUUGGGUUAAGUCCCGCAACGAGCGCAACCCUUGAUCUUAGUUGCCAGCAUUCAGUUGGGCACUCUAAGGUGACUGCCGGUGACAAACCGGAGGAAGGUGGGGAUGACGUCAAAUCAUCAUGCCCCUUAUGACCUGGGCUACACACGUGCUACAAUGGACAGAACAAAGGGCUGCAAGACCGCAAGGUUUAGCCAAUCCCAUAAAUCUGUUCUCAGUUCGGAUCGCAGUCUGCAACUCGACUGCGUGAAGCUGGAAUCGCUAGUAAUCGCGGAUCAGCAUGCCGCGGUGAAUACGUUCCCGGGCCUUGUACACACCGCCCGUCACACCACGAGAGUUUGCAACACCCGAAGUCGGUGAGGUAACCUUUAUGGAGCCAGCCGCCGAAAGUGGGGC
This 1457-nucleotide ribosomal RNA is filed under the name Bacillus pumilus. RNAcentral's name for it is "16S ribosomal RNA". It matches the Rfam family "Bacterial small subunit ribosomal RNA". Lineage: Bacteria; Bacillati; Bacillota; Bacilli; Caryophanales; Bacillaceae. The record is from RNAcentral.